Molecule: ribosomal RNA, 811 nt
Filed under: Mandarina hahajimana
Lineage: Eukaryota; Metazoa; Mollusca; Gastropoda; Stylommatophora; Camaenidae
Description: partial 16S ribosomal RNA
Source: RNAcentral
AGUUUUGAGCUAAAUAUAUUUUAAAUAUUAGUUAUUUUAUGAAGGUGUUGUAAAACCUUAUUAAAAAAUAUAUUUAGGGGUGAUAGGCUUUUCAAAAACUAAGAUAUCUUGAAUCUAAUUAAAAGUAUGUAGUACAUUAAACACAACUAUUAAGUGAUUAGGCUUUAUAGAAUUAUUAACUUAUAAGAUUUUAUUUACUAUAAUUUAAUAUUUAAGUUCAUAAAUAUAUUAAUAUUCAUAUAUUUUAGUUUAUAAUAGAGUAAUUUGAUAGAUUUAAGUUUUUAUUUCUUAUAAUAAUGUUAAUAUUAGUAUUAAGUUUAUACUUAUAUGAUGAACUCGGCAAAAAUACUUCUCAACUGUUUAUCAAAAACAUAACUAUGUGAAUGAAUACAUAGCGGUUUCUGCUCAAUGAAUAAAUUAAAUAGCCGCAGUAUACUGACUGUGCAAAGGUAGCAUAAUCAAUUGACUUAUAAUUGAAGUCUAGAAUGAAUGAAAUGAUGGGAAACUACUAUAUUUUAUAAAUAUAUAUAAUUUAUUUAUGAAGUGAAAAUACUUCUAUAAAAAUAAUAGACGAGAAGACCCUAGAAAUUUUUAGUAAUUAAAAUUAUAUUUGAGAAAUUUUUUGUUGGGGCGACAAAGUAGCAUAUUAACCUACUAAGAUUAGACUUGCACUUUUUUAAUUGUUUGAAAAAAUUACUCUAGGGAUAACAGCAUAAUAUUUAAAAGUUUAUGACCUCGAUGUUGGAUUAGGAAAUAAUAACUUAAAAGGUUUUUUAUAUUGCUCUGUUCGAGCAUGAACUCCUACAUGAUC